Molecule: unclassified non-coding RNA, 430 nt
Filed under: soil metagenome
Description: partial contains 5.8S ribosomal RNA, internal transcribed spacer 2, and large subunit ribosomal RNA
Rfam family: 5.8S ribosomal RNA (bases 1-120)
Source: RNAcentral
GAUGAAGAACGCAGCGAAAUGCGAUACGUAAUGUGAAUUGCAGAAUUCAGUGAAUCAUCGAAUCUUUGAACGCAUAUUGCGCUCUCUGGUAUUCCGGAGAGCAUGCUUGUUUGAGUAUCAGUAAACACCUCAACUCCCUUUUCUUUUUUGAAAUUGGAGCUGGCCUUGAGUGAUCCCAACGCUUUCUUCCAAGAAAGUGGCGGGUUGCUUGAAAUGCAGGUGCAGCUGAACUUUUCUCUGAGCUAUAAGCAUAUCUAUUUAGUCUGCCUAAAAAACAGAUUAUUACCUUUGCUGCAGCUAACAUAAAGGAGACUAGUUCUUGUGCUGACUGAUGCAGGAUUCACAGAGACAGCUUCGGCUGACUUUGUAAACUCGAUCUCAAAUCAAGUAAGACUACCCGCUGAACUUAAGCAUAUCAAUAAGCGGAGGA